GUAUCCCUUUUUUCUUUUGAGUUGGCACAUAAUCUUUAUUUGUUUGCACACAAAUUAGUUCAUAGAAACUGUUGAAGUUUGAGACAAGAUACCAUACAAUCUUUAUUUCUUUCUUGAGAAAUUGCUCUUAUGAUGGAGUAUUAUGACUACCCUUAUUAUCCAGUGCCAGUGCUUUUGGGCCCUCUCCUUAUAUGGCACUAGAGAAGUAAGCCAUCAUGAUUUCCUAAAAAAGGUGAAGCCAGCAUUAAUAACAACAACGAUUUUCAACCAAACAGACGACAGUGAUUUUUUCGGAGAUCAGAUAAUACAGUGAUUAGUACCCCUAAUUAAGCCCCAUCUUUACUUCAUACUAACUGGUCAAGGAAAGUGGUUUUGUACGCUUAGGCUGGUCAUAGUGGGGAGUAACUUAGACUAGUAACAUACAUAUGUUACUAAUCUAUGUUACUACCUUCAUAGUGGGUAGUGUCAUAGGUGUGGUAACAUAGUUGCCUUCAUUUAUUACUUUGUAGACUCAUUAUGCAUUGGAAACCGCUAUGUGAUGGUAACAUAUUAUGUUACCCUAUUUGCCUCUCUCUUCAUUAACUACUUGCCACAUCAUCAUUUUUGCUUAUGUGGCAUCUAUGUUACUACCUAUGUUACCAGCCUUACUGCAGACCUUUUUAUCUGGCAAG
RNAcentral lists this long non-coding RNA (671 nucleotides) under Triticum aestivum (bread wheat). RNAcentral describes it as "long non-coding RNA (TAES_LNC022606)". Lineage: Eukaryota; Viridiplantae; Streptophyta; Magnoliopsida; Poales; Poaceae. The record is from RNAcentral.